This 253-nucleotide ribosomal RNA is filed under the name uncultured bacterium. RNAcentral describes it as "partial 16S ribosomal RNA". It matches the Rfam family "Bacterial small subunit ribosomal RNA", at positions 524 to 776 of the family's 1533-position model. The record is from RNAcentral.
UACGAGGGGGGCGAGCGUUGUUCGGAAUUAUUGGGCGUAAAGGGUGCGUAGGCGGCCUGACAAGUCUGAUGUGAAAUCCCUGGGCUCAACCCAGGGCCUGCAUCGGAAACUGUCGGGCUUGAGUAUGGGAGAGGUGAGUGGAAUUUCCGGUGUAGCGGUGAAAUGCGUAGAUAUCGGAAGGAACACCUGUGGCGAAAGCGGCUCACUGGACCAUUACUGACGCUGAGGCACGAAAGCGUGGGGAGCAAACGGG